RNAcentral lists this ribosomal RNA (378 nucleotides) under Triticum aestivum (bread wheat). RNAcentral's name for it is "partial small subunit ribosomal RNA". Lineage: Eukaryota; Viridiplantae; Streptophyta; Magnoliopsida; Poales; Poaceae. The record is from RNAcentral.
AUGUCAUUCGAUCGCUUGAGUGAGCGGAUGGCACCAUUCAACAUAGCAAAAAACACAAGCUCAGUCGGAAUGAUGUUGAAUGAAAACACCGCACCUGGUAAUGGUAGAAUCUCAAUGACACAUACAGAUAUGGUUAAUAGUGGAAGAACUAUUUCUACACUUCCCAACCAUCAGACAGAAAAUGUCGACGCAAUGACUGACAAGGUUGAUGGCGGGGAUGCAGUUAGCAAUCACCCUAUGCAAGUGGGUACCAUUGGUCAGCAUGCACUUAAUGAUCAAUUUAAUGACAUCAAUGACUUCUCAUGGGAUGAUUUUUUUCUCAACCCGCUGGAUGCAGAUUUCACUAUCGAGGAUGAUUUCAUGGGUGGAGAAGAAUAG